Pipra filicauda (Wire-tailed manakin) is the source of this 1600-nucleotide long non-coding RNA. RefSeq lists it as uncharacterized. Lineage: Eukaryota; Metazoa; Chordata; Aves; Passeriformes; Pipridae. The record is from RefSeq and is a predicted model, not a curated record. The transcript is spliced from 2 exons.
CCUCUCCCAGUCAGUCAGAUACCCUGUCAUUUGCUGCAGAGUAUGUGUCAAGUCCUGAGUCAGAAGACUGAAUGCUAACUAACAUGGCCUGGAUCCAAAAAUCUUCAAAGAUAGCCUCUACAAAAGCGUGAUGGGGACAGGCAUUGUAUCAGUUAGAAUCUGCAGAGCCAUUUUGUGGGGGCUGGCCCCAGACUGAGCUCGACUUUUUUUUUCACAGGUGAAGACUCUACUCCUUGGAGUUGCCUGUAUGAAAACACUGGCAAAAAAAAGGCUCCUUAACAUCCUGCUGAGAAAUAAAAGGCCAUUGGAAGCCCAUCUGAGGUCAGAAUGAACCAUAAGAGUCCUAAAGAAAAUAGGAAUGAAGAAAACAGCUUAGCAUAUAGACCACUUAACCAAGAAGAAGAGAGGAGCAUCACCAGCCCAACUCUGCCAAUGUCUGGUGUUGAUUGAAGACCCCAGCUCCAGUUCUUUGGUGGUUUGCGGUGACAGGGUGCCACUUUUUUCAGACCUAGCCUUUACUCGUAUGUUUACAGAGAAUCUGAGAAGAUUAAGAAAGUAGCCAGAAUAAUCUUCCUUGUAUUUUGGAUUUCAGUCCUUCUCUCACAGAACCCCUUAUAGGAUUUGUUUUCUUAUGGUUUGGUACUGGAAAGGAGUAUCUUUACAUGGUCUCAAGCUGGGAGCAUUCAUCCUCUUGGCAUGAUUAAACCUCAGUUGCCUGAAAACCCACUUCAUAAACGGUAGUGUGCAACAAAAUGGACCAAAUCAGUGGCCAUCUGUUCACCUCUUGGAUGUCUGCAGCCCAGCUGCUGUUUCAUGGAUGUGGUCAUUCUCAAAGUACUUCUAAUAGCUUCAGUCCCAAGCUUGUGUUUGAGUAAGAACAAACCUAACUUGAAAACGUGGUGGUGUGGUUAGGGACAUUUAAAGUUUUGGAAGCACCUCAUUUGCACUUAACUAUCUCUUUAGGGAAACUAAACUGUAUUCCAGAAAUGCUAUCAGAAAAAAUGGGCACAGGAGGUGAUAGGAAUGGAGAAGUCCUAAUGAAAUGGAAAUUUGAAUGAAUAUGGAAUUCUCCAACGGGCCUGAGCUACCUGAGUUAAUAACACAUGGCCAGAAAUGCUGCAAAAGCCGUGCUGUGACCACACAGCCAACCUGUCAUGCUCAUGUGCACACUGCAUGCCUGUAUUCUCUAAAUUGCAGAGGAGAAGACUGUCUCUUCAGGGUUCUAAGAAAACAUAUAGGGAAGUGAAGGUAGGAAGGCCAGGGCAUGGAUGCCCAGCAAAUGAAGGCAUGGCUCACUGUUCUGCAAGGAGAGCAAAGCCCCACACAAGCAGGCAGUGUUUUUGCAGCAUGGUAACUGGGUGCAAGCAACACUUUUCCACUUAAACAGCAUUCCCCUGCAAAGAAGCAGCAGCCGGGCAGUGACACCUCCAUCCUUCCAACAAGCAAUGAAUUGCAGAAAUGAGAUUUUAUCCUUAGCAAAUACAUCAGCCUGGAGUCUCCAUUGGACAGGAGCUCUUGUGCUGUGAAUUCAUGUAUGUAGUCUAGAUUUCGAUAAUACAGUGAUGCAGGAAAAUAAAACGCUCAUUAGCAUCAUCCUUAA